This 916-nucleotide long non-coding RNA is filed under the name Marmota monax (woodchuck). Lineage: Eukaryota; Metazoa; Chordata; Mammalia; Rodentia; Sciuridae. The record is from RNAcentral.
GUUCUUUCCAGUCAUUUAUUCCUCAAGUGCUUGAAUUUUACACCUUUUUUCUUCUGUAACAGAAUCUUUUCCCAAACAACCAACAUUUUAAUGGAAGAAAUUGAGUUCUGCAAUUGCUAAUGUGGAUUUUUCUCCUGUCCCAUUUUCUAAUAAGAAGGAAAAUUUCGAGCCUGGAAUUUUGCUUGGUAAUUGAUAAGUAAAGCCUUCUUUUAACACUCUGCAUUUUUCACAUGUAUACUAGUAUUAGUAUCUAAAUUACAUUAAAAUCUCAAUAAUUUGGUAUCAAUUGACUUGGAAUUUGUGACACUUGGGCUAGAUAGUGUAUUUACUUGUAUCACUGAAAGAGACGAGUUACUAAAAUGAGAAGGGUAAGUUUAAAAUAACCACAGAAAUAAGCCUUUAAUGAACUUUAUAUAUGUAUACACUCAAUUUUGAACAAUCACUCUUUAAAUCAGGAGAUAUUUUAUAUACUCAGUAGUUAUUGUGAGUUACUUAUACAUCAUAGAAUUUUGAGCUGAAAGAAAGGUAACAAUCACCUAGCUGAAUUUCCUUUAUAUUCCAGAAGAGGAGAGAAUCUAACUAGGCAUGUGCAAGCCUGAAGCUGCCAAGUAACAUGUAGAGGCAGUUAUCUGAGUAAUGCCAACUAAUGAAAGCUGGACAAAGAGGAGAUAUCUGGGCUUGAUAAUAUCAUAAGAGCUACUGAAUCCAUCCAUGAUCUGACUUCUAAGACUUUCAGUUAUAUGGAACAUAAAGUUUCCUUUGCAUAAUAUACUUUGUGAUAUAUUCUGUUAAUAUGCAACCAAGAGUCUCAAUAAUAGAUUUAUUUUAAACUAAAUAUUAAUAUAUAUUUUAUACAAAACUCAAUGAAAUACAUUUAUUAAUUUAGGAAUGUGCUUAUAUGAUAGUUAAACUUUUA